CACCAGCGCCACAAGUGGGAAUCGCUAUUACUGGGCCUAAAGCGUCCGUAGCAGGUCUUAUCAAUUGCUUGUGAAAUUGCAUAUCUCAACUAUGCGAAUUGCAGGCAACACUAUAAGACUAGGGACCGGGAGAUGUUGGAGGUAUUCAGAGGGGAGCGGUAAAAUGCGAGAAUCCUCUGAGGACCACCUGUUGCGAAGGCGUCCAACAAUAACGGGUCUGACUGUGAGGGUCUAAAGCUAGGGGAGCGAACCG
This 253-nucleotide ribosomal RNA is filed under the name uncultured archaeon. Its description in RNAcentral is "partial 16S ribosomal RNA". It matches the Rfam family "Archaeal small subunit ribosomal RNA", at positions 474 to 726 of the family's 1478-position model. The record is from RNAcentral.